UGGGGAAUAUUGCGCAAUGGGCGAAAGCCUGACGCAGCAACGCCGCGUGAGUGAUGAGGGCCUUCGGGUCGUAAAGCUCUGUCGGAGGGAACGAAUGCUCUUGAGGUUAACAGCCUCGGGAGGUGACGGUACCCUCAAAGGAAGCACCGGCUAACUCUGUGCCAGCAGCCGCGGUAAGACAGAGGCCACGAACGUUGUUCGGAAUCACUGGGCAUAAAGCGCACGUAGGCGGCUAGGUCCGUCCGAUGUGAAAGCCCCCGGCUCAACCGGGGAAUUGCAUCGGAUACAGCCUGGCUUGAGGACGGUUGGGGUGAGUGGAACUCCUGGUGGAGCGGUGAAAUGCGUAGAUAUCAGGAGGAACACCGGUGGCGAAAGCGGGCUCACUGGACCGUUACUGACGCUGAGGUGCGAAAGCUAGGGGAGCAAACGGGAUUAGAUACCCUGGUAGUCCCUGAGCGGGCUGGCAAGGCGCAU
RNAcentral lists this ribosomal RNA (474 nucleotides) under uncultured bacterium. Its description in RNAcentral is "partial 16S ribosomal RNA". It matches the Rfam family "Bacterial small subunit ribosomal RNA", at positions 355 to 825 of the family's 1533-position model. The record is from RNAcentral.